AAUUAGUAAAAGCUCCCUGAUAUGAAGCAACUUGCUAUAAAAUAGUGAAUUUUGCUCUUAAAAAAUUUUAUGCACUAGCUCAAGUCAUGACCAUAAUACACAGCAGUUUCUUUCACUCAGGGCUAUCAAAAUUGCAAAUGAUACCUUCAAAGUGUUGUGCAAGUUUAGGACUUUGAUCCAAAAUAUGGAUAAGCAUUAGAAUUCUGAGAAACAUUGACUAAAAAAAAUCUUGGAAAUUUAUCCCAGAAAAGAAGCUUUUUCAAGCAAUCUCUUUCAUUAUGCAGGAUUAUAUAAGUCACCAUCA
Molecule: unclassified non-coding RNA, 304 nt
Filed under: Hevea brasiliensis (rubber tree)
Lineage: Eukaryota; Viridiplantae; Streptophyta; Magnoliopsida; Malpighiales; Euphorbiaceae
Source: RNAcentral